This is an RNA transcript of Cercocebus atys (sooty mangabey), 7158 nucleotides long. It is a transcript of the gene named phosphatidylethanolamine-binding protein 1 pseudogene, with no coding region annotated. The record is from RefSeq and is a predicted model, not a curated record. Lineage: Eukaryota; Metazoa; Chordata; Mammalia; Primates; Cercopithecidae. The transcript is spliced from 2 exons.
UUUUUAAAUAAUAUAAAUGAACCCCGGCUUCCCUGGCUAGUUUUCAGAGGCUGCCGAGUCGCCGUUGCGCCUGCGCCUGGCCUAGCAGAACUCCCAGCUGCGCGCUCCGCUCUUGCGCAGCCAUGCCAGGGGGACCUCAGGAAGCGAUUCAGUCCCUUCAGCCUGCAGGAAGUGGACGGGCAGCCGCAGCACUCGCUGCCUGUCACCUACGCCAGGGCGGCGGUGGACGAGCUGUGCAAAAUGCUGACGCCCACCUAGGUUAACAGACCCUCCAGCAUUUCAUGGGAUGAUCUUGAUUAAAGGAAACUCUACACCUUCGUCCUAACAGACCCCGAUGCUCCCGGCAGGAAAGAGCCCCAGUACACAGAAUGGCGUCAUUUCCUGGUGGUCAACAUGAAGGGCAAUGACAUCAGCAGUGGCACAGUCCUCUCCAUUACGUGGGCUCGGGGCCUCCGGAGGGCACAGGCCUCCACCGCUAUGCCUGCCUGGUUUACAAGCGGGACAGGCUGCUGAAAUGUGACCAGCCCAUCCUCAGCAAUGGAUCUGGAGGCCACGGUGGCAAAUUCAAAACGGCAUCCUUCGGUCAAAAGUACGAGCUCUGCCGGCUCAGGGCCCCAGUGGCCAACAAGCAUUACCAGGCUGAGUGGGAUGACUUUGUGCCCAAAGUGCACUGCACGAGCAGCUGUCUGGGAAGUAGGGGGCAGCUCAGGGACCUGAACUGUCCCAGAGGCCCCAAGCCCUGUUCUCCAGUUCAGUGUUGCAUGUAUAAUAGAUUUCUCCUCUUCCGGCUGUCCUUUGCACAGGCAAGACAUGAGCAGUCAGAUGGUUUAGGGUAACUUUUUCUGCUACCUGGCCUUUAUAAUUCUAGUCACUCACUCACUCUGGUGUAUGUUUUGAUCAAAGUGGAACUCUAUUUUGAGGAAUAUUUUGGUACUGUGAUGGGGUCAUCAAAUUAAUAUGAAAGUAGCAAUGCAGAGUUUAAAGAAGAAAAAGCUGGGGGAAAAAAGACCAAGCCUACAGUAAUAGAGCAAAGCAUCAAAGAAUCUUUAAGGGAGGUUACCCACGCGCCACCCCCCCCAAAAAAAAAAUAAAGGAAAAAGGAUUGGUUGCCUCUCUGCCUUUCUCAUCCUGAGACCAGAAUUGUACUCAGCGUGUUUUUAUGGUGCUGUCGCUGACCUAGAAAACCAGAGGCUGACUGGCAUGGAGGCUAAACCCCAACACGGUGCAUCUCAGAUGCCUUAAUAGGCAUCAGUAUCUUGCUCUGGACCCUUUAAAAAGCAAUCCUGGAAAAAGCAUUAGGGAGAGUGGCUUUGCUGUUGUUGGGGCAUGGCCAUCUAAACUGGCAGCAGUGCUCAUUGACAGCUUAUUAGGAAUCCUUACAACUAUAGUUGUUAAAUUGAUAGCUCUUCAUGGGGGUAAGAAAAGCUGAUCUGGAGUUGUUGAAUGUUGGGUUAAUUCUGCUGUUUGCUUAUAAUUGAAUAAAAAUAGAAAUGUUGAGUGAACAAGAUCAAAAAGUUCUAUAAAUGGUAGUAAUUACUGUUAUUGUUACCACCAUCUAGAUUAUCACCUUCAGGCAUUUUGACUUUUUAAUUUGAUUUGUCCUUCUUAAAGGCACUGGUGAAAUCAGCAUCUCUUGUAUCCUACACAGUAGUUAGUUUAUAGAAGGACAAUAAAAAUUUUUGGAUUUACUCUUAGUAUAGUUUGUGCCUAUGGUUCCACAGUAAAAAUACUUUGAGCAAUAUAAUUUUGAAACUCACUGUAAGAUAUGUGUAAUUCCUCAUUUCAUAAGAUGGUAUUGCAUUUCCUCUUGGCAUUUUCAUGUGCUUUUGAAUUUUCAUAUGUAUCUACAUUUAUGUUCAUGCAAUAAAGAACAAAAUAUAAAACUGUACCUGAAAAUAUACAUCCCUAUGUGGAAAUAAAGAGCUGGACUUUAUAUUGUCCUCGGAAUGACAUACUUUUGAAUCCUAGCUCAGCCAACUAAGGUCUUAUACAGGUUAAGUGAUAUUUGUGAGGUUUAGUCUCCUUGUUUUUAGAGCCAUAUAAACAUAAAAUCUAGUUUAUAUAUGAGUUGAUAUGAGGAUUAGAUAAAGCAAUAAAUGCAGGAGGCUUUUGCUUGUGCAUAGCUGAGAAAAAUUUGAAUCCACACAGUAUUGUUUAAAUUUAAUCAUUUUGGUCAUACUGUAGCCACAUUACAAUGUGAAAGUGCAAUCGUUUCCUACUUUCUAUGGAAGCAGAGAGGAAGAAUGCUUACCCUAUUCUUAGGGUAAUAAUGGAAGACUCCCCCAAAAUAAGUAAUGUCUAAGUUAAGAAGGAUAUGUUUGAGUGAGGUAGGAAAGGAAAAUGAUGAGUCUUUUAGAAAAACAAAAAUAGCAAUGUGGCCCAACGUUGAGAAUCUAGUACAUUUCAGAAAGUAAAAGUUGUUCUUCCUGGCUGAAAAGCAAGAUGUAAGGUAGAAGGGUGCUAGAAAUCUUUCUGGAAAAUAAAUGUGACGCUGAUAAUGAAGGCCCUCUCUUAUAAACUGAGAAGUUUUAACAUUAUCCUCAGGUGACAGGAAUUAUUAUAGAGCUGUCAGUAGGUGAUUAAUCCCAUUUGUGGAAUGCAGAGCGGAACUUAGGAAUGCAAGGUUGGAGAUGAGGCCAUGUAUCAGCAGGUUGUAAAAUGCUUUUAGAAUUUAAAAUGGACAGCAGAACCACAGGUAAUGUUGGAUAAAUGUUCAUUACAGUUAACACCAGUCUAUCCUUCUGCUUUUUUCACUCAGUGACCACCAAUGGUAGUAAUUUUCAAAAGAGAUUCAGAAAUCCAGUUAUAGAUAAAACUAAGAGGUUAUGCAGGCUGAGCCACCCAUUCUUUUAAUCGGGACACAAAAUCUUAUUUUAUUGUUAAUUAUGAAUAGGGUAAGAAUCUAAAUAUGCCUACCCUCUUGACCUUGAUUUCUGAUUUUUACAUAAAUAUUCUAUGAUCAUGCAACUUGUACUGAGCAAAGAAGAAAAGAAAUCUAAGUUAUGUUUCCAGAUUACAGUAUUUAGUGUGCCCAUUAACUUGAAUACACCUAUCUCAUUCAAUGCUGUAUUUUAUCAUAUUCUUUUUGCACUUCCCUUUGUUCCUUGGAGGAAUUUAAAGAAAUGUUAUCAAAAGCAAGGCUUAUGAGUGAUCAACUCUCAAAAAGAUACCAACUCAAAAUAAAGAUACCAACUCUCAAGAUGUGAUUUUCCAAUGACCUGUCACCUCUGAUUCUAUCUUUGUGCAAGGCAAUGGGAAUGACUACUCUCCCUCCCCCCGGGUUCUGAAUGCCAGGCCUCACUUCACUGAACAGCUCAGAACAAAUCCAGAGCCAUGCAAAGUCUCAGGAACCCGGUUUCUUGGCAUUCAUCCAGAAAAGUACUUCAGAAACCCCUCACUGACUGAUACAGAUCUACCAUCUGUUUCUUAAGUUUAACAAUUGUACAAAGAAAGUUUUUCACAGUUGGAUGAAAAAAAGACAUGGUCUCUUUCAAGUUUGUAUUCAAUUUACUAUUCCUCCUGUUGAUUGGCUGAUUCCCAAAUGUCAAAAGAACACAUAAUGCUUAUGUUGAAUCUACACUAAACUAGUCACCAUUUUAAAACUCAGAAGCACGGUUCCUAAAGACCUUGUAAUGUCCAGUACUACCCUGGGCAUUCAUACAGCGCAUUAAUACUCCAUGUACUGAAUUAAAUAAAACUGGCUUGACUUAGUUAUUAAAACAACAGCAACAUUUACAAGCCCUUUAGCAACAUUUGAAGAGUGGGUCUAAGUAAAAUUAUUCAUUAUUUGUCUGGUUUUCAUUUCAAACAUUUAUUUUACUGAUUUUUAAUCUUAAUGUAAACAUUUUAAUUCCAGAUAGCAUCCAGAGCUUCAAUCUUGAGGUACAGUCUAAGAUAGGAAUGAUAUUUCGGUCUUUGACACAGUUCUACAAUAAUGCUUCCAAUAUUCUCUAGUUAUCUUUUUAAAUGAAAUUAGUAGGUACAACAGAAAUUACUUACCCAUUCCGAGAAUAUAGCUCCUGACCUGAUAAAGCUAGACAGAAAAAGAUGGUUGCCUUUCUUUUAUAAUGAGAAACUCUUCCAGGGAAAAUUGACUCUGUGUUUUCAAAUGAUCAGUUUAUCAGCAUACUUUUAUAAUUCAUGCCCAAUUUAUAGAGAUAUAAAAAUAGUUUUAUGUCUCACAUAUGAUGAAAUUCAGUUCUUGACACAGUAUGUCAUUUCAUGGCAUAAAAUAAAGAACACAUUUGGGUUGAUCAUUCUAUGGGAAAUCUUAGGGAAGGUUUAUAGAUUUAUCACUUUUUGCAUUAUUUUGUCUCUUUAUGAUAAUUUAAUCCAAUAAAACCUAGUCAGGUGGAAGAUCAAACUAAAAUUGGAUGGAUUCUUAUUAUUAUUGAGAUAUUAUCAUUGGCAUAUGCUUUUUAAAAGAAUAAAAGCUAAAUAUUAGUAAUGAAGUAAAGAUAAAGCACAUUUAAUGAGAAAGUUUUGGGGAUUUUUUUCUAUAAUAGAUACAUUUUAUUGUCUAUUACCUCCCUCAGCAAAACUAUAUUUUCUUUUAAAUGUAGAUGUUUGCUUCUCAUCAAUAUUAAUUCUAAGUUGAAAGAAUAUAAUUACUAUUCUAGUAAAAUGUUUAGAACUGAGAAAAAUACAGUCAUUUUUUUCUUUCAAAUUCUUAAAAUCAGGCCUUUGGAGCAAAUAAACAUUUUAGUUAGGUGAAAUUCACAUGCUAUUUUACUGUCAAUAACGUCUCAGAGGAUCAGAAAACUAACAGAGGCAAUGAGCAGUUUCCAAAAGAAAAAGGCAGAAAACCAUCACAAAUCCUAGGGGACUAAAGAUACAUAAGAAAUAAAUGCAACAUGAGGUCCUAGAUUGGAUGCUAUGGCAGGAAAAGAACAAUAUUGGAGAAAUGGGCAAAAUUCAAGUAAAGGUUGUAAUUUUGGUUAAUAGCAUUGUACCAAUGGUUACUUCUUAGUUUUAACAAAUGUACCCUUGGCAAAUGUUAACAUUAGAGGAAACCAAAUGAAGAGUAAAUGGGGACUUUCCUAACUGUCUUUGAAACUUUUCUGUAAAUCUAAAAUUAUUCCCAAAUUGAAAGCUUAUUUUUAAAAGGUUUGUUUGUAACUAGUUCAGCAAAAGAUGAAGCAGAGCAUAGCAUAGAUUCAUUUUGUUUCACUUUAAAAUUGAGUGUUUUUGUGAUUAGGACAUUUUCAUAGCACAUCUUAUAAAUGUUUGCAAUCAUAGCCCCAGUUAUUAUGUUAUAAUUAUAUGUUAUUAUAUAUGUUAUAUAUUAUGUUAUAUAUAUAUAAAAUAUGUAUGCCAUAUAUAUAACAUACUAUUGUAUAUUAUUAUGUUAUUAUUAUAUAGUCAUAAUGCAGAUGAUGAAGGCUACCAUUACUAAAAAGACAGUGUUAUCCAUCCUGACAUUGUAAAAUUGUAAAUUUUCACAAUUGUAAAAUUUCACAUUUAAAAAAUAUAAUAAAGCUUACCUACCUAUAUGCUUAAUACUUGAAACUGCUUUAUAGAAUUGUCAUUCACUAGCUGUGGAUUUAUUAUUAAAUGCCUUCAUUGGACAUGAUCUCAUGAGUCUUUGUGACUGGACAGCAUUCCUUAUCUAACUGAAGUGAUGAGCAUGAGAUGCCGCUCCAAGUGUUGUAAAAAGGAGACACGACCUCUAAGCCAAAGAGGCUGUGUCAUUCUACUGCGUAUGAGGAACAAAUGCAACUACAACAAAGGUCUUCAUUUUAAGAAGAUAAAUCUGGAUUUAGUCAAAAUACAUAAAAUAAUUUGUUUGGAAAACUUUUUGAUUGCUGCUUUAUGGUGUACAAAAUGAACAACAAAUGUCUACUAAUAAAAGUUUGAUUUUAUGGUUUUUAGCCUCCAGAUACAUACAUAAUUCAUCCACAUGGGAAAAAUCAUUACAUUAAAACAAUUUUGGGAGAGAAGUACAUUAUUAAUACUUUAAAAUUUCAAUUUCUUAAAUUUGGUUUGACUUUCUACAACAUACAAGGAAAGUUAAGAAAAAAAAAUCAGAAACCAAAAGGCUUAUUCUACCGCAUUUCUUGGGAAAUUGUCUCACUUUGAGAGUAUAUGAUUCUUUAGUCAUUAAUUACACCUUCUCUAUUUUUCUAGAAGACUGUUUUCCAUAGUAUCACUGGAGGAGCAGUUAAAAUGUACUCUUCCAUUUUUCUGAAUAAUAAACUGAGGGUGGAAUUAUACCUCUGUAAUGGAAAUAACCAAAACAAUAUAUUUGAAUGUAUUGAAAAUAAACACUUUCCUCUUCAUUUACUCAAUAAAUAUUUUCAAAUGACCAUUAUUUGACUGGGCAUGUACACAGCACUUAUUAUGUAUCAAGCAUUAUACUAGGUUAUAUAUACAUAUGUAUAUGUGUAUAUACCAUACACAUUAGCUUCCUCAAUCAUUGUAAUAAUAUGAAGUGUGUAUAAUUAUUACCUCUAUUUUAGAGACAAAGAAAGCACAAUAAGGCACAAUAAAUAACUUGUUUGAAAUCAUUCAGCUUGUGAGUAGCUGAGAAAAAUUUGAAUCCACACAGUAUUGUUUAAAUUUAAUUAUUUUGAUCAUACUGUAGCCACAUUACAAUGUGAAAGUACAAUCGUUUCCUACUUUCUAUGAAAGCAGGGAGGAGGAAUGCUUACCCUAUUCUUAGGGUAAUAAUGGAAGACUCCCCAAACUAAGUAAUGUCUAAGUUAAGAAGGAUAUGUUUGAGUGAGGUAGGAAAGGAAGAUGAUGAGUCUUUUAGAAAAAAAAUAGCAAUGUGGCCCAACGUUGAGAAUCUAGUACAUUUCAGAAAGUAAAAGUUGUUCUUCCUGGCUGAAAAGCAAGAUGUAAGGUAGAAGGGUGCUAGAAAUCUUUCUGGAAAAUAAAUGUGACGCUGAUAAUGAAGGCCCUUUCUUAUAAACUGAGAAGUUUUAACAUUAUCCUCAGGUGACAGGAAUUAUUAUAGAGCCUUCAAUAGGUCGUUAAUCCCAUUUGUGGAAUGCAGAGUGGAACUUAGGAAUGCAAGGUUGGAGAUAAGGCUGUGUAUUAGCAGACUGCAAAAUGCUUUUAGAAUACAGUUAAAAUGGGGCCGUGCACAGUGGCUCAUGCUUGUAAUCCCAGCACUUUGGUAGGACAAGAUGGGUAGAUCACCUGAGAUCAGGAAUU